RNAcentral lists this long non-coding RNA (37410 nucleotides) under Gossypium barbadense (sea-island cotton). Its description in RNAcentral is "long non-coding RNA (GBAR_LNC021247)". Lineage: Eukaryota; Viridiplantae; Streptophyta; Magnoliopsida; Malvales; Malvaceae. The record is from RNAcentral.
UUGAUGAGAGAUCUAAUGAUUCAAGCUCUGACAAAUCACCUAAAGAUGAUGGGAUAGGACCUAUUAAACAGUUAUGGGAGAGGUUAAGGACAAUAAGUAAAUGAAGCUCACCAAGUAUUUUUGGAAUUUCUCCCCUGAAUUGAUUACUAGAAAGGUCAAUAACCGUCCAAAUGGAUAAUAGUGAUUCAAACUUUGUUUCCAACCCUUUUUCUGUAAAAGAUAAAUCACUACCAUAAUUCACUAUAACUUGACCAAAUUUGUCUUUCAUGUACUCUGGUUCAAUUUUCUUUCCAUACCCUUCUCUAAUGGCAUGCAAAUGUUCAAAAAAAAGGGUAGGUAAGUAGCCACUAAAGUUAUUGUGAGAAAGAUCAAUGAUACGCAAAUGAGUUAAAGAAACUAUAACAUCAAAGCUAUCCACUUGACCAUAAAAUCCAUUCGACCUCAAGAUAAGAACAUGCAGCCGGUCCAAAUUUCCUAACCAAUUUGGGAAAGUGUCAUUCAAAUUGUUGUUUCCAGCAUUAAGAAGGUUUAAAUCAUUGCAAUUAGCCAAAGAUCGUGGUAGUGACCCUUCUAAUUUAUUGUUGUUGAUGCGAAAACUUUUCAACAUGCAACCUUUAGCAAAAUUUUCUGGUAUUUGACCAUGAAAAUUAUUAUUCCCUAGAUCAAUUUCUAAGAGAGAAGAACUCAAGUUUCCAAUGCACUCUGGAAUUGUUCCAUCCAAAUUAUUCUUAGAUAGAUCGAGACCCAUAAGAGAAGUCAAAUUGCAUACUGAGGAAGGGAUUUCUCCAAUUAAAUUAUUGUUCGAAACUCCAUACCAUUGCAAUGAAGGUGGUGGUGUUGGCAUUCGGCCAUGGAAAUAAAAUUGGAAUAGAGUUAGAAUUAAGGGUUUGAAGAUUCUUUGAAACAAAAAAUGCAAAAUAAGUACAUGUAUCAUGUGUAUAACCAAUAAAAAUAAUUGGUUAAAUUACAACAGUACUUCUAACAAUUUUUAGAUGCACGAGAACAAUUUUUAAGUUGUAAUCUAUCUAAAGAAACUACUACUACGUUCUAAAGAAAUUUUUAUUUCCAUUACUUAAAAUUAAAAAGAGAUUGCAUAAAUGUAUAAAAAAUAUAUAAAAGAAAAACAAAAGACGAAUUACCUCUCAAUUUGUUAUAAAAGAGAUAAACAUAUGUAAAUGAAAUCAAUUUUCAAUAACUUGAGGAAUUUUAUAUAUCUUUUGUUUUUCUUUUAAUAUCUUACUUAUUUUUCAUAGUUUAUGUUUAGAGUUCACUGCUCUUCCCUUAAGAGUGUAAUAUAUCUUGCCACUGCACCAAAUGCUUAUUGGUGUAGUAUUUAUUAUAGCUAUAAAUAGUUUUAACUAUUUUUUUAUUAAACUCUAAGUUAUAGCUCAAAUCAUAAAGCAAAUUAGUUGAUAUAAUGUAUAGUGUUUUUUAUCACUAUAAUUUAUGUUAAAUUUUGUUGAGUUUAAUAUUCAAAAUACCAUAUUUGAUAUAUAUUGAAUUUAAUUAAUUUGUAAUUCAAAUUAAUAUUUUUAUUAUAUCAAUAUUCCUACAUUUUUCUAAUUUCAGAGUAGUUAAAGGAUACAUUUUUUUAAGCUAAAAGUAUUAUAUGCAGAAGUUACAAGAUUAUAAAGCUAAUUAGUAAUAUAUAGCAAAAUUCUAUUACAACUAGUAGAGACUGCAUAACUGUAACAACACAAAAGAGAAUAAAGAUGAUAUUAUACCUGUUUAGUUAUUACUUUGAAGACCGCUGUACACGAGGGAAGUAAGACUUCCAAAAAUGGAUGGAAUUUCACCUAAAACAUAUAAUUAAAAUGGUCAACAUUUAUUUAUCUUUUUUUUUUUUGUAACAGACCUUAAUUUCAAUGCGGAUAGGUAUACGUCUCUCUGUUUCUCUGUAAUUAAACCUAGAACUCUAUUUCUUUCCUAUUCAAUAAUAUCAACUAUGGCUAGUUACAAGUCUUGUGUGAUUCAAUAAAUUUUCAAUACUGUUUUCGAAAGGUAGCAAAUUAAAAUUCAAAUCUUAAAUUAAUUUAAUGGAAAAUUUAAUUAAGGCCCCAACUACAUAAAAACAGAUUCAAGAUAGCAAUGUGAAUAAAUUAUAGAGUAAGUAUUGCAUGAAACAAUUACAUCACAUUUGCAUAGGCUUUUUUUCAAUCCACGAAAUCAUAUUUCUUAAAAAAUCAACUAUUUAUUAAUUUAAUCAUUAAUGAAUUGUUGAAUUAAAUUGUAUCAUUUAAUUAUAACAUGUAAUGUAUAAUUUAAUUUUUACGUUUUUUAUUUUUCAAGAUAUUCAUGAGAGCGAUCGAGCCAACAAAAUGAUUGGUUAAUUUACUUUCCAACAUUUUGCGUUUUCUAGAUGUUUAAGAAAGACCAAGAUUUUAAUAUAUUAAAAGGAAACUUUAGGUAAUUUUUAUUUUGAUAUAUUGAAAGGAAACUGCUACAAUUACCUUUCAACCUAAACUUUAGGUAAUUUUUAUUUUGAUUAUGGAUUGUAUAAAUUUAAUAUAAAAAGGGAAAAAGAAAAAUAUGAAAUUAUACCUGUUAAUUUAUUAUUAGAAAGAUAAAACUCUUGGAGAAAAGUUAAAUUUUCAAUACCAAAAGGAAUUUCACCUGAAACAUAUAAUUAAAUGAAUCAAAAUUUACAAAUAAGUAAAACAAGUUUAAUUGACAUUUCGGGGAUCAUUAUUUAUAUGAAAUUUUAGUACUAAAAGGAACAAAAUAGUCCAAAAAUUGCAAACAGAAGCAGAAAUUAAAAGGGAGAGGAAGCUAGUUUUUGUCAUAAAGUUGGGUUAAUAUUUUGAUUCUAAGGAAAAAUAAUUGAGUUAAUAUUUUUCUAAAGUUAGCUUUAAAUAUUUUGAUUCUAAAGAAAUCCCAAAAUGCAAGACUUAAUUCUCAAAUUCAACAGUACAUCCAAUGGCAAGACAGCAACGCAUUCUCAAAAGAAAAUCCACAAAUAAAGACAUGUGAGGAGGGCCAAGGCAAAGUGGCAAACAAGACAUUAAUUACAUACUUUUUUACAUAAAUAUAAUUUUAUUUAGUGUUGCUAGGCAUUAGUUUGUUUUAUAUUAAAUAUCAUACAUGCAAAAUCUAUUUAUAUUAAUUAUUUUACUAACUUAUAAACAGUGAAUCCAAACAAGUUUGACUACAUCAAGUUAAAAAAAUUUAAAAAUUUCAAAUUUGAAUCAAUUUAGGUGAUUUCAUUUAACAUUCAAAUUAUUUAGGUCUGGGUCAUUUAAGUCAUGUAAUUUGUUAUAUAAAUUAUUAAAUAUCUUUUUACCAUCAUUUCUUACAUUUUUCUCACGUUAAAAAUUGUUGAGUAUCAAAUGCAUCAUUAAUUUUUCUCCUUUCAUCCAAAAGGAUUAUAUUAAGAGAUUAAAUUAUUGUAAGCUAAUUAAUAAUAUAUUAAAAAUUGUAUUUAUAUGCGUGAAAUUUAUAAUUUUAAAAUAAUAUACAAUAAAUAAUGAAACGUAUAGCUCAAAACUAAUUAAUAAUAACACAUGUAAUAUGUAUGAUGUUAAAAUGAAAAAAAUAGAUUUAAAUUGUUUAUUAAGAUGUUGUCAUCAAUCUUGAGUUAGUGUUGAGUUAACCUGUGAGAUGAACACAGUAAAACACUUAAUAAAUAAUAUAAAUAUACAAUUGAUGGAAGUAAUAAAAUGCGCAUAAUAAAAAUUGAAAUGUCUAAAAACAUUAAAAUAAAGUUCUAGAUGAGUGGUUAAUUAAAAAUUUUACUAAUACAAGUGGUACGAGUUCAAAUCCCACAAUAGGUAUAUUUUUAUUGUUUUUUAAAUUAAAAAGCUAAAUUACCUUUGGAUAAUAUAACUUAUUUUAAUAAUGGAAGGGUGUUUCCAUAAUUUUUUCUAACUAGAGGUGGUGACCCGGUUGAGAGUGACCCCAAUUCAGUAAAGCACUUAAUAAAUAAUACGGAUUGAAUAAAUAUAAAAAAAUGAGAAGAAAAUGAUAUCUUUGCAUCAAUGUUUUCGGAAGUAGUCAAAAUUUCCAUAAUUGAUAGAAUAAAUAUAUAAUCAUGUUUAGGUUGGUGGUAGAAUUAUGUUAUCUUUUGCAUUUGGAAUUUAGGCAAUUUUGGUUGGUCUGUAAUCAGAGCAAUAACUCAUAAUACCCUAACUUAGCUAAUUUGUGAUCCAAGGCAAAUCUUAACAUCUUCUAAGGUUUAAUGUAGAGGGUGGAUGUGAAAUGCCCAAACACAGUUCAACUUCAGCAAUUCAAAUAGUUUUGGAUGUUUUUAGAAAAAAAAUUGUAAACUCAAGGUGAAAAUUUAUGAUUUUUUUAGUUGUGUUGUGACUUGUGAUUAGUUCCUUUAGUUAAGCACAUUAUUGAAGUAUGACAAACUUACCUGAAAGUUGACAUCCUCUUAAAUCAAGAUAAUAUAAUUGAGGAAGGCGAUCAAACAUAUUUGACAAGAGAUGACCAAAGAGAUUGUUGUCUGCCAAUGCAAUUAGUUGCAAUGAAGAAAUGUUGAAGAUUGAGUAAGGAAUAACACCUGCAAGAAAUUAGAUCAAUCAUUUCUUGGCAUAAAGAAGGUAUUAAACUAUGUAAAAUUCACAUGUGGAAGAUUUAUUAUUUGAUGUCAUCUGAUCCAAUCUGUUAAAAAAAUUGUAAAUUUAGGGUGAAAUUUUAUAAUUUUUCUUCACGCACUUAAGUCCUAAUAGCUAAAAGUAUCAAAUGUGUAAUCAAUUUGCUUUUCUGUAUUACUAUAUUAAGAAACUAAAACUUAACAACAUAAAAAAAUAAAGGUUCUAAGGUACUUGCCUCUGUCAUUUUUAGAAUUUUAUUAAAGCAGCAGAACGGUCAUUUAGCUUAUCAUAAAAGUCAUGAUGUUCUGUCCAAGUGAUUAUUACCCAAAUAUAAAUAUUAUAACUUUCCUAUGUCCAAACAAGUGAAGGAAAAGGUACUCGAACAUAUUCCACCGUAGAUGAGCAAGGGUUAUCAAAUAUUCUUGAUAAUAGACGGCUAGUUCUAAGAUAAUUGCAUGUUUUGAUCCCUAAACCUUGGGUUAUUUACAAGUUGGUCCCUAGUGCUCAACUAGAAAUAGGCCUAACCAUUUCAUCAUUCAAAAUAUCUAAAAUUUGGUCACUUUCUUUGUAAGACAAUUUCUCUCUCUCCCUAUUUGUAGUUUUUACUUGUACUGUUUGAAAUGAAAUAUAUUUAGUAGUGUCUAAGGACAUAAGUAUAGUUUGCCAAACCUCGUUAAAAAUCUAGUAUUCUUUAUUGUGUUUUUUGUUUCUUUCAAUAUUUUGUGGGUACAAUUAUAGUGAUAUAUUGUCCUAUUAAAUUACAUUAGAGAGAGAUUCUUUCUAGAAGAUCGAGUUUUAAGCGGAACUGUCUGUGAUCCCUUUAAUCUUUCUUAAGAAUUUAAUUUAAUGUGGUUUUCGAGUACAAUAAUUCACUUUUUUUACCCUAUUCGCACAACAUAAAAAUAUAUUCAAAAUAAAAUAAAAAAAACAUGAAACUUGAAAGAGAAUUAUUAUCCAAAUAUUCAAGCAUGGUGCUAGUGAGAUCCAUUUGAGUUUAAUAUUCAAUUUAUUAUGUUUAUUGGGUCUUUGCAUUUAAGUAAUCUGCAAUGCAAAUUAUUAUACCAAUAUUUCCUACAUUGUUAUAACGUUAAACUAGUUAAAAUAUCAAAUGUAUCAUUAGUUUUUUAAACCAAAAUUAUUAUAUUAAGAAACUAAAGGAUUGUAAGCUAAUUAAUAAUAAAACGAUAUUACAUAUUUACCUGUUAAACUGUUAUUACAAAGAUCAAUGAACUUGAGAAAAACCAGGUUUCCGAUACUCAUUGAAAUUUUACCUGAAACAUAUAAUUAAAUUCAUCAAAAAAACUUACUAGAAAAACUCAUGUACUAUGUUUCUCUAUAAUCAAAGCUAGAACUCAUGUACUAUGUUUAUGUAAUCUACUGGAUGGUUUUCUUAAGGGUAAAAUUACGUAAUUUGAUGUAAUUGUUUCAUACAUAAUCCUUUCUUAUUAAUUAUAUUUGUGACAAACAUUCGGAUUAUCUAUAUAGUCAACAAAAUGAUUGGUUAAUUUUUUUCACAACAUGUAUUUUCUUAACUCUAAGAUUUUUAUCUAUUAAAAGAAAACAACUACAAUUACCUUAUAACGAAAACUUGAGGUAACUUUUAAGUUAAUUAUGAAAUGUAUAAAUUUAAUAAUAAUAAAAAAGAAAUGAAAGAUGAAAUUGUACUUGAUAAUUUGUUAUUGACAAGAUAAAAUGUUUGGAGAGAAGUCAAAUUUUCAUUAAUGGAAAAUUUUCACAUGAAAUAUAUAAUUAAAUUAAUUGAAAUUUACAAAGAAAUAAAACAAGUCUAAUAGACGUUUCGAGCAUAAUGAAUUAUACGAGAUUUUAGUGUUACAUUGUAAACAACAGCAUAAACUUAAAAAAAGGAGAGGAAACUAGUUUUUGCCAUAAAGGGGUUAAUAUUUUUAUUCUAAGGAAAGGAUAUAAGACAAAUCAUACUGAGAGAGACAACUGAGUUAAUAUUUUUCUAAUGUCAGCUUAAUAUUCUUUAACUAUUUUCUUUUUAUUCUAAAGAAAUCCCAAAAUGCAAGGCUUAAAUCCCAAAUUCAAGACUACCUCUAAUUUCAAUUGCAAAAAUAAAUGGCACAAAAGGAAACCCUUAAAAUACAUUCGAUUGCAAGUCAGCAAUGCAGUCUUUAAAAAACCCCAAUCUUCUUUUAGAAGUAAAAGACGGUCUCUCUAAGAGAAAGAGACGAGUGCCAAGGCAAAGUGGCAAAAGAUACAUUUGCAUAUAUAAUUUAUUUAGUGUCACUAGACAUUAGUUAUAUAUAUUACUAAGUAUUAGAUUUCAUAUAUAUAUGAAAAAUCCAUAUAUUACUUAUUUUAUUAAUAUAUAAACAGUAAUUCGUUUACAUGAUUUCAAUGUCGAAAAAACAAAAUAUUUUAGAUUUAAGGUUGAUUCUUUUAAGAUUAAUAUUCAAGCUAUUCAGAUUUAAAACAAUUGUUCAUAUAAAUUAGAUAAGAAAAUGAAUGAAACGAUAAUCCGGAAUUGUUUACCUUUGAGGUUGUUGCUUUCAAGAAUCAAAUUUUCGAGCAAAGUCAAAUUCCCAAUUUCUGCAGGUAUACUUCCCUCCAAGGAGUUGCUAUACAAUGAUAAAAACUUCAGUUUUUUGCACUUGAAUAAACUAUUUGGAAUUCUACCAGAAAUUCGAUUUCUACCCAAGCUCAAUCUUUCUAGUUUUGACAAAUUGCCCAAAGUAGAUGGGAUAACACCAUCAAAGUUGUUACCGUACAGAUAUAAUUCUUGAAGUUUAGCGAAGGAACCAAAACACAAUGGGAUUUCUCCAUUGAAAUUGUUGUUACCUAAGUGAAAAUAUUUCAGCCGAUGCAAAUCUGCAAAUUCAAUGGAUAUAGAGCCAUGGAAAUUAUUGUCAUGAAUGUCGAGCCAACCAAGGAAAGAUAGAUUUCCUAAUUGAGAAGGGAUGGUGCCAGUGAGAUCCAUAUGUGAUAAAUUCAGAGCAAUAACUCUUUGGUGUUUGGAUCCACAGGUGACACCAAUCCAGUUGCAAACAGAGGCCGAAGUAGACCAACUGGUUACCAAGAAGUUAUGAGGAUUAUGAACUAUAUGAGAUUUUAGUGCUGGAAGGGCCGAUUGAUCUAUGGUGAUGUUAGAAUAUUUUGCAGACAAAAUAACCCCAAAGGUGGCAAAUAGCAGCGCAAACAUAAAAGAAAGGAGGAAGCUUGGUAUUGCCAUAAGGUUGGAUAUGGGUGUAAGGCAAAUCAUAGGGAGAGAAACAACUGAGUUUUUUACCUCUCUAAUCUUACUGCAACAUUCUUUAAAUACUUUGAUUCUAAGGAUUUAGGCAAGGCAUCCAUUGACUCAUAAUUUGAGUAAGAAAUAUGUACAAUUUUGUGGUUGCAACAUGAAUUUAAGUAUUAAUAAUUGAGAAAUUAAAAUUUAAAAAAUAAUUGAAAAUUUAAAUAAAAACAGUAAGAUCCAGAAAAAAAUAGUGAAAUACCCGUAAAACUAGAAGCAGGACAUAGAUUGGGAAGGCGGUGUCGGUUUCUAGACUUUGGAAUUUUUAAUGAAUGGCCACCUUUUUUCAACCACUAAUUUCAGACAAGCUUUCCACAAGAUAAUGUUAUUUUAAGACUGCAUUACUGACGUUUGGGCCAAAGGAUGAAUUAAUUUUCAACUUUUUACCCUUACUUUCCAUUUUCAAUUAUUCUUUGUUUCAUCAAUGGGAAAGCAACUAUUUUGUAACUCUCCACUUCAAUUCACAUCUUUUUUUGUUUUAUAAUAAAUGGAACUAUAGUUGAAGUUGCUGUAUUGUGUUAAUGGAAGCGUCCACUUUUAUCAUUACUUCAACAAAAUGUAUAGAUGUGUACAUUCGGUUGGUUGGAUUUUUUAUAUAAAAUUUUUGAUUAGGUUCAGUUUAGCUUUUAGCUGCUUUUUUUUAGUUAGAAAAGAUUUCUACAUGAAGUAGUUAUAAUUUUAUUUCCUUUAAUUUUUCUUUCAAAUAGUUGUCUCCUUUCUUCAAUUUACUAUAUUGUAUUACUUUUAAUUUUACUAACUGUGAAUUAUUCUAAAAGGAUCACAAUUUAUAGCUUUCAGGUUGAGAAAGCAACCAUAUUUUUCAGGUAAUUUUUUUGUAUUACCAAAGCAAGAUUGAAAUGGAAUUUGGAUUAUACGCAAAGCAUAUUUUUCAUUCAUUCUGUAUGAUAUUUGAAUUUAAAUAAAUUUGAAGAAUUUAAAAAAAUAAUAAAAAAGAGAAGGAUUUAUUUUUAUUAUUUUUAUAUCUUUUAAGGGCUAUUUAAAUUUAAUCUCAGAAGGAAACAGACCUAACAUGCUAAUAGACCAAAUGUUUAAUUAGUACAGUGAUACUAUCAUGCAACAACUCUUUUUCAGCCAAUCUAAAAGGUUAAUUACUUCAUCAGGUCCUUGAACAUUUUGCCCUUGCACACUUCUACCAAUUUGUUAGGCGACACAAAAAAUUGUGUUUUUUUUUUUAGAUUUUUAGGGUGGUGCCGCUUGAGAAAGUGAUGACACCCAACUCUACUAUAGAAAUCAGGUCAUUUCCAUAAUUAAUCUUAAAGUUUGGUCAUUUUCAUAAAAUUUUAAACUUAUAGUGUCAGAUUCCUAAAAAAAACUUUACUUUAUUGCGUGGUAAACUUCUUCAGUUUGAUGUAUAUAUAAUAAGUUUGUUAUAAUAAUGUUAUUUCAAAUCAAUUAAAUAAAUUUAUAAUCACUUAUGAUAUAUUGAUUUUAAUUAGAAAAGCGAAAUUUUAUAUAAGGUCAUCCUGUAGAUAAAAGAUGGCAGCUGAUUAUUCGCAAUUGAUUAUUCUUUGAUAAAAAUAAAUCAUGGGAGUGAGGAAUUAUUAAGACUGUUGUUUGAUAAAAAGAGUUUUCUUAAUGCAUAGACUUGUUUGUAUUGGAUCCCUUUUAUGAGGCAAAAAGGAUAUACUUGUCCAAGGGUGAAUUGUGUAAGUCAAGAUCUUUGCAAUAGGAUAGCUACAAGGAAUCUUCAGCCCUCUCUUUUUCUUAACUCUAUCUUCCUCUCAUUUUCUUAGGCAUGACAUUCUGGUCUAUUGUUUGUUUGGAUAUGAUUUGUUGUGUCCUACGAUGUUAAUACUUAGAUUCUAAGGAUUUAAGCACAACAUAAACUAUGAUAUAAGUGGUGUCGUAUUAUAAUUAUUAGUCCAAUUAAUUAUGAAUUUGAUUUCUUAUUUUUUUUUUAGUAAUUUUUCAUUGAAAAUCAAAUAAUCAAAUACAGAAAUAAUUGAUGUCGUUAUUGAUAUUGACGCUAAAGCCCAAGUCAAGAGUCUUCGUUUGCAUGCUACCUGUACAAAUACAUUAAGGAAACAAGGCAACCUCGUUGUGUUACUAAGUUAGUGAGUGAUCUAAGAAGCAUGUCAGCUCCAAAUGAAAACAAAUUUUCAGUACUAAUGUCAAUCACAUUUCAAAGACAUAUUUUAACUAAGAUUGAGACCAAUUUUUUAAUUUAAAGUCUAAAAAUAUUGAUUGAUAAUGCUACGAACCAACAUGACACUGGAUCCUUUCAUUUCUUUUUCCACUAGUGCUUGAUGGGUUAUUAUAAAGGGUUUGAUUGAUAAAAGAUCAAAUGAGUUUGUUGGAAUUAUUUAUUAAGUGUUUGUUUUUAUUUUGAUUGAAUCAAGUGAUUUAAAAUUUUAGAAGUGUUGUUUUCUAUUUUUAGUGUUUUUUUUAUUUAGGGUUAUGAGUUUUUGAGGUUGAUGAACAAAAACUGAAACUGAGACUUGAUUGUGUUCAUUAAUUUUGGGAUAUAGAUUUUUUAUUUUUGUUAAAUUUUUUAUUGCUUUUAUCUGAGAUUAAUACUAAAAACUGUUCAGUUUUCGUCCAUUAAAUUGUUGAAGAAGAAUGUUCUAUACUUGAAAUUUUUUGUGUUUGGUUGAAUCCAAAUGGUUUUAAAAAAUUUCAAACAAAUUUUUUUGUUCACUUUCAAUUUUGAUCCAUUAAUUUGGGGGUUAAUUUUUGCUUUUUUUAUUUUUUUUUUUGUUCAUGGAUGAAGCUCUUUGUAGGUGACGUGUAUGUUAAAAAAGUAAAGAAAAUGGUAUUAACAAUUGAGAAAUUAAAACUUCAAAAAAAUUGAGAAAUUAAAUAAAAACCAUUAUGUUAGAAUUAGUGAAAUAUUAGCUCAUAGAAACACUUUAUAAUUUUAGUGAAAUAUUAUUUUUAUAUUUUAAUUAUUUUUAUAUUUUUAUAUAACUUUUUAGAAUCAAAAUGAUAGAAUAUGUAAAAUUUAGAGAGUUAAAUUGUUAUUAGACCAAUAAAAAAAUGAGUUAGCACUUCCGUCAAUUAAUUUUCAGUGACAAAAAAAAUUGAUUUCGAAUAGUUUAGUAACAAAAUUGAAAAAUUUAAAAGUUUAAUGACCAAAAUAGAAUGUGGGUAAUAGUUUAGUGACAAUUCCUACACUUUAUCCUUUUUUAAAUGGUAAAUAAUUUUUGGCAUAAUGACUUAUUUGGCCCUCUAACUUUAAAAAAAAAUCAUUUUAGCCUUCUAUUUAAUUUUUCGCUUUUUUUAACACUUUAACUUCUGUUUUUUUAUCAAAUCACCCCCACAUAGUUUCCAUAUAUAUAUAUAUAUAUAUAGCAGCAUUUCUUUUUUCCUCAAUCAAGGAAUAAUAUUUCAAUAAUUAAAACUCAACAGAUUCAUAUAUAUAUACACAAAAUAAUAGGAUCACCCUUGCAAAUAGAAGAUGACAGCUGAGUAUUCUUUGAUAAAAAGAGUUUUCUUAAUGUAUAUACAAGUAAGAAGGCCCUAACUUUGGUUGAUUGAAACGUGUUUGAUGGAGAUCCUCUCAACUUCUUCUUCACGGUUGCUCCCAACUUCUUUCUAACAUGAAUUCAAAAAAUGACCACUUUUUCCAACAUCUAAUUUGAAAAUUGGUCCCCUUACCUUAAGACAAAUCAAACCUAAGUUUCCACAAGAUAGACUUGUUUUAAGACUGCAUGUGAGGACCAGUAAGCAGGAUUCAACUAAAAAUGAGAUGAUUUUUCAGCUCUCCAUUGAUUAGAGCAACUUCCACCUCUAUCGUUUUCAUCACAAAUAAUAAAUAAGUGGAGUCUGUAUUGGCAUUGACACCAAAGUCCAAGUCAAAAGAGUCUUUAUUUUCAUCAUAAAUAAUAAAUAAGUGGAGUUCAGCCGCAUCAUUAAUUAUAUUCUCUAGAUAUAUUAACCAAAUUAUACCUAUAUACCAUAUAUGAAACUUGGUACAAGAAUUGAUUGAUUUAGAAGCAUCCACUUUUCUCUUAAUUCAAACCUUUUCUUCUUAACCAACCAAUCAACACAAACGCUAAAUUUCUUGAAAAUACACUAAUUUUGUUUAAUUAUUAAAACUGUUCAUUAGCUCUAAGAGAAAUAAUAUAAAUUCAUAGUCCGAUUUCAAUAAGAGAAAUCAAGUUUCCAGUCACUCGAAACACAAUUAAAUAGGUUAAAGUUUAGCAGAUACUAUUUCUUUGUUCAACACUAUAGGCGUCUGUUUUCUUUUCUUUACUACUUUUUUAAACAUGUAAAUUUCUUUCAAUUUGAUAGUCUUAUGAAAAAACCCUCAAAGUUAUAAAUCCCUAACCACAAAUCACCACAAGAGAUCACAAAAAAUAAAACAUCUGAGACAUCCAAAAGCACUAAAGUAGUGAAGACAUCGCAUUUCAUAGUUGUAGAGGAGGAUUAGAUACUCCUCCUAAUCUAAUUAGCUCUGUUAUAUUAGCAAUCGAAACACAAGAUAAUUUUUAUACCUAUAAAUAUAACUAUUUCCAAAGCCAAACAUGGGAAGAGUGUGGGCAUUAAAGCUGUGUGAAGAUGAGCCUACUUUAAACUUGGAAAAAGUAUGGAACCAGAAAGAUAAUUAUUAUACAAUAUAACUAUUUCAACUUUACUGGGCUCCUACCAUAAUAUACCACAUAAAAAAUAAUAAUUCUUGAAAAGGAGAUUUUUAGAUUAGGAGUGUAAUUGAAAUGGGUGGUGGGAGAGUUGUAUGAGCUCAAGUUGAGGAGAUUUUGAGAGGCGAAAGAAGUUGUCGAUAUCAAUGAUAAAAAUAUCAAUUUACAAUGCUUCGAACCAACAUGCCACUAGAUCCUUUUCACUUUUUUCAUCGGUGCUUGAUGGUUAUUAUAAGGGCUUGACUGACAAAAGAUUAAAUGAGUUUUAUUGGAAUGAUUGAUUAUUGGAUUCUUUUUAUUUUGGUUGAAUUAAGUGGUUUACAAUUUAUUUAUUUUUUGUUGGAAUGAGUUUUUGAAAUUGGUGAGCAAAAAUUGAUACUGAGAUUUGAUUGUGUUUAUCAAUUUUGGGAGAUUUUGGUUUUUGUUCAAAUUUUCAAUGCUUUUAACUGAGAUAUUAAAACUGAAAAAAAAGAGAGUCAGUUUUCAUUUAUUAAUUUGUUGAAGAAGAAUGCUCUAUGUUUGAGUUUUUCGGUCUUUGAUUGAAUCAAGUGCUUUAAUAUAAUUUCAAACAAAAUUUUUGUUCACUUUCAAUUUUCAUUUAUCAAUUUGAGGCUUGAUUUUUGCUUUUUUUUCAUUUUUGUUGUUCAUCAAUGAAACUUUUUGGAGGCGAUGAGUAUGUUAAAAAGGUAAAAAAAAAAAUGGCAUUAAUAAUUGAAAAAUUACAGUAUGUUCUAAAAACAAUUAGUGAAACAUGCACUUAUACAAGCACUUUAUAUUUUUGCAGAAAUAUUAUUUUAUAUAUUUAACAAUUUUAAGAUUUUUUAAAUAUUUUUAUAUAAAAUUUUAGGAUCAAAUUGAUAGAAUCUGUAAAUAUUAGAGGGUUAAAUUUGUUAUUAGACCAAUAAAAAAGUAUUCAGCCCUUCCAUCAAAUUUCAAAUGGUUGUUAACUUUCAAUGACCAAAAAAUAGUGAUAGAAUAUAUAAACAUUAGAAGGUUAAAUUUGUUAUUAGACAAAUAAAAAAUACUUGUUAGCACUUUCAUCAAAUUUCGAAUGGUUGUUAACUUUCAAUGGCCAAGAAAACUAAUUUUGAAUAGUUUAGUGAUUAAAUCAAAAAAAGUAAAAGAUCAUUUAAUUAUUUUUUUCAGAUUUUAAAAAUUAUUUUGAAAAACAAAAAAUCAUUAAAACUAUUAAAAAAUAUAAAGUAUUAUCUAAAUAUUUUUAAAAUUUUAAAAUUAAUUAAAUGCUGACAUGUCAUCCACGUUAGCAAAAUUAACAAAUGUUAACGUUUUCAUCCGUUUUGGGUUGAUUUGACAAAAAAUACAAGUUCAAGGGUUAAAAAAGAAAAAAAAUUAAAUAGACAAUUAAAAUAAUUGUUUUUAUAAAAUUGGAUGACAAAAAAGUCCAUUCACAAAACAUGUUUUUGGUAAUUUUAUAUUCCCUAAAAAUAUCACUUUUAUGUUAAAAUUUGUAAACUUCAUCUCAAUGAUAUUAGAUAUUUUAAUUAAUUAAAUUUUAUAAAUAUAUAUUGAAAGUUUUUAUAAUAUAUAUUUUUUCUGUUUUGCCCUGUGUUCCUCUGUUUUGUUCUGUUCCUGUGAUGUUGGGUUUUUUUACCAUGGUUUUUAUGUCGAAUACUAAUUAAAAAAAGAGUUUAAUUUCCGAUAUCGGCCUAAUUAUCAUGUGUUCCUUUCAAUUAGAUGUUAUAGACCGACCAUGAAGAUUUCAAAGUGUUGUAGGAAUCUAUCUUUUGAAAUUGUUUUCAGCGACCAUCAAGUUUUGAAGCUUUUGACAAAUUGGCCAAAGUUGAUGGGAUAAAACCAAUGAAUUUGUUGAUGUAUAGAUACAAGCUCUGAUGUUUUAUUUGGAGUCUAAUGGUUGCAACAUGUUUGAUGAUGAUCCUCAACUCUGAUUGAAUCUAUUAUUUAAUAUCAGACAAAAUAAAACAUUGAGAUGAAACUAUUUCAAUUUUCAUGUUCUUUGAUGAUUUGUCUUGCUUCUCUUCUCUCACUUGUUUUAUAUAUAUAUAUAUAUAUAUAUAUAUAUAUAUAUAUCUCGUUGUUUGAGAUGUUGUAGUUUGAUUCCUGCAUUGCACUUGUAACAAAAUCAUGAUUCAGACCAAAGUCUUGUAGAUUGUAAUUUUGCAUUAUUUCACCUCCCUUGAUUCUUGACAAACUGUCUUUGGUAGCAAUCAACCUCUCUUGGAGUAUCUACUCCUAAUUCCAAAUAUAAUUUACUUUCUUCGUUCUAAGCCACAUCAAAUAUAUCAAAAAGGCAAAAGGUGCCAAUUAAGACGGUCUUUAUAAUCUAGUGCACCGCUAAAAACAUCAAGAAAACAUAAUAUAAACCACACAACAUACAAUAAUCGAGAUUUUUUUUUUUUUGCCAAUUUCCUUUAAGUAGCCUUAAAUCUCUAAUAAGAGGACAUGACGGUUAAAAUUUGAUAUUAUAAUAAAUUUGACUCUCAAUUUUUACUUUCUGUAUCAAUUUAGUCAUUAUUUUAAAAGAUUAAUCUUUAAAAUUUACAAAUAAUCUCAAUUUGAUCAUCAAAAUUUACCUUUUCUUUCCACUUCCUCCGCUACCACUAUCAUCAUUGCCUCCAGCUCCACCUUCUAUUAGUAUGUUUUUGUUUUGGUCACCUAACUAUGAAAAUUUUCAAUUUUAUCACUAUCGUUUUAGAUCAUUUCUAAUUUGCUCACUUUUUAGAUCGUUUUUAUUUUACUCAAUCUUCGUUAAAUGGUUAACCAAAGUUAUAAUGUAACCUUUUUUUUAACUAGUAUAAGAAACACAAUUAGUCUUCAAUACUUCCACAUUCUAUCAAUUUGAUCCUCGAACACAUACAAUUAAAUAUAAAAUAUAUAUAUUACGAAAACAUACAAAAUUUAAUUAUUUAUAUAUAUUGUUAGAGUUGUGUGACCCAAAUUCUAAGAGAUUCCUUGCAAGUCAAGUUAAACAAAGUAUAUCUUCUUUCUAAAAGAUUUAGUAUUUAUGAGUAUAAUAUAUUUACCAUUUAUUAGCAUAAUAUCUUUGACUUUGAUUAGAAUUAGGUUUUUUCAACCUUUAAAUAGAUGUAGUCAAAACUCCUCUUGUAAUCAUUUUAAAUUCGACAUAGUGAAUUCUCUUCACCUCUGCCCAUGGUUUUUUCCCGAAAGGGUUUCCACAUAAAAAUUUGUUUGUAUUCUUUAUUUUUAUUUUUCUUUUCUUUGCGAUAUAUUGUCAUUACUGACAUUUUAUUUUAACAAAUUGGUAUCAGAGCUUCCAGGUUGUUUAUCUCAAUCACGAUAAUGGCGUUUUUGAAGUACGAAAUUUUGCUGUUAGAUCACAACACUAGAUUCACGUUGUGGCAGAUAAAGAUGUAGGCAGUUCUUGCAUAGAUGGACUUAGAGGAAGCCGUGCUAGGGGUAGAUAAGAUGCCUUCAACAUUAACGGAGGAAGAGAAGAAGCGCAAGGAUCUAAAUGCAUUAACACAGUUACAUCUGCAUUUGUCUAACAAAAUUUUACAUGAUGUGAUGAAGGAGAAGGUUGUCACUAGAUUAUGCAAGAGGUUGGAACAAAUAUGUAUGUCAAAAACUCUAACUUGCAAGUUGCAUAUGAAGCAACGUCUUUAUGCUCAUCGUUUGAAGAAAGGUGCGUCUGUGCACGAACACUUAACAAUGUUUAAAGAAAUUCUCUCAAACUUGGAGGCCAUGGAGGUUCAGUAUGAUAAGGAAGAUCUAGGGUUGAUUCUACUUUGUUCGCUGCCCCCGUCUUAUUCAACCUUUAAAGAUACGAUUUUAUAUAGCCAUGAGUCUCUCACAGUUGAUGAGGUUUAUGAUUCUUUAACCUCAUAUGAUAAGAUAAAGCAUCUUGUGGUUAAAAUUGACUCUUAAAGAGAAAGUCUCAUUUUUCAUGGAAGAUAAGAUCGAAAUGCUAAUGAUGAUCGUGGAAGGACACAGGAACGAUAAUUUAGUAAUAAAUCUAAGGGUAGAUCGAAGUCUUCAAAUAGAGGUAAAACUUGUGACUUCUGCAAGAAGAAAAGGCGCAUUAAAUCUGAGUGCUAUAAGCUAUAGAACAAGAUCAAAAGGGAGGCUGCAAAUCAAAAUGGAAAAUAACAAGAAAAUUUUGGUAAAGCUGAUGCUGUAGAAGACUACAGCGAUGGUGAACUUCUAGUUGCUUCUGUCAACAGUUCUAAAGUAAGUGAGGAGUGGAUCUUGGAUUUGGGCUACACCUUCCACAUGAGUCCCAAUCAGGAUUGGUUUAGAACUUAUGAAAUAGUGUCUGAAGGUGUUGUUUUGAUGAGAAAUAAUGCUUCAUAUAGAAUCACAGGUGUUGCAACAAUUAAAGUUAAGAUGUUUGAUGGAGUUGUCAAAACACUUAGUGACGUAUGACAUGAUCUAGAAUCGAAGAGAAAUUUAAUUUUUUUGGGUACUCUUGAUUCAAAAUGGUACAAAUACACAGCUGAAAGUGGGGUUUUAAAUAUUUCCAAAUAUUCCCUCAUUGUGAUGAAAGGGCAAAGAAAGACUGCCAAGUUAUAUAUUUUACAGGGUUCUAUUGUUACUGGUGAUGCAGCUGUCGUAUCCUCUUCCCUGUCAGAUGAUGAUAUUACUAAACUUUGGCAUAUGUCCUAGGGCAUAUGAGUGAGAAUGGCAUGACAGAAUUGAGAAAAAGAGGACUUCUUGAUGGGCAAGGAAUUUGUAAAUUGAAGUUCUAUGAGCACUGUAUUUUUGGGAAGCAAAAGAGAGUUUGAUUCACUGGAGGAAUCCAUAACACAAAGGGAAUGUUGGAGUAUAUUCAUUCUAAUCUGUGGGGGCCAUCUAGAGUGCCUUCAAGAGGUGGAGCUAAUUAUAUGCUAACUUUUAUUGAUGAUUUUUCCAAAAAAAUUUGGGCGUUCUUCUUGAAGCAAAAAAGUAAUGUGUUUUCAGCAUUUAAGUCCUGAAAAACUAAGAUUGAAAAAUAGAUUGGAAAACAAAUAAAAUACCUUCGCACAGACAAUGACUUAGAGUUCUGUUCUGAUGAGUUUAAUAAACUGUACAAGUUAGAAGGGAUUGCGAGACACUUGACAGUUCGUCAUACUCCACAGUAAAAUGGUGUUGUAGAACGAAUUAACAGAAUGAUCAUGGAGAAGGUUCGAAGUGUGUUGUCAAAUGCCAACUUACCAAAGUUAGUUUGGGCCGAAGCAGUCUCUACUGCAAGUUUUUUGAUCAACCGAUCUCCAUCUGUUGUCAUUGAGAAAAAGACUCCACAAGAGGUAUGGUUUGGUAAUCCUACUGACUAUUCUGAUUUAUAGAUCUUUGGGUGUCCUGCAUAUGCUCAUGUUGAUAAUGGAAAAUUGGAACUGAGAUCCAUAAAUGUGUUUUUCUUAUUUAUAAAGCAGGUGUAAAAGGGUUUAAGUUAUAGUGUCCUAAAAAUAAGAAAGUUGUGAUUAGCAGAGAUGUUGUUUUUCAUGAAACUACUAUGCUACGUAACUUAUCUCUUAAAGACUCUUCAAAUAAAGAAAAUUAAAAAUAGGUAGAGCAUCAGAUUAAUCCAGAAUCUACAUCAGAGUUGACUUUUCAAGCCAUUAGAAAAAUACAAAGUAGAGUUGCUUCUUCACCACAAUACUUUAUAGUCAAAAAUAGAACCAGAAGAGAAAUUAAACCGCCAAAGAAGUAUGCUAAGGUUGAUCCAGUUGCUUAUGCUUUAAAUGUAGCUGAAGAUAUAAAUUGUAACACCCCAAAUUUUGGGCCUAGAAAAAAUAGGUUUUGAACAAGGGAAAAUUUAGGAGACUGCACAUAAAUAUUAAGCUGUGCAAGGAAGUGACAUAAAUAUCUGUCUGCUUUAGUGGUUAAGUGAUCUGGGAGUGUUUAAGAAGCCUGGGUUCAAGUCUUGGCUUCUGCAGAAUUUUUAGUUUUGCUUUUAAAUGAAUCUAGACAUUGGCAUAUAGGCCUUAUAAAUAAUAGUGUUAGUUUUAUGUCCCAAAAAAGCUUAUGGUCUAGUGGUAAGGUGACAUGUUGUAUAACUGUAAGGUAUGAGGUUCAAGUAUUGGGUUACGCAAUGGAGUAUUUAUUUUGCUGAUUGAGUUGGGUAGGUGGUGGGGUUGGAAUGAAAUAUUGCUAAAUAGAGUUUGAAUUGGUCAUAGAGAGAUUUGAGGAAGGAUAUGUGGAGAGAUUUGAGAAGAGAAUAUUGGGAUUUGGGGAGGUUAUUGUUGUAAAGAGAUAAAUAUAUCAUCUCAUUUGUUCCUUGUUCUGGAUGGGAGAUCGACGAGGUUUUCAAGGUUUUCGUCGCUUUCUCCAAACUGCAUUGCUUCCAUUCCUAACUAGUGGUGGUCGAGGUUGAUUAACACAUUGCCUAGGAACCAAGGAUGCGAUGAUCAUUAAUUUUCAGAAUAGGAGUGUUUAGAACGAAAUGAAUCUACAAAUCGUAUCAAGUGUGUAACCAUCCCACUGCAACUGUAGAACGCUAAAAAUCGAAAAGUCAAAAUAUGGCAUUGAGACGACACGAGUGUGCGAUUGCUCGUAUAGGAAGCCAAACCUACGAAUCAUGGGCGAGAAACUGUAGAGGCCUCAAUGAACAUUUUCAUGGGCUUAGGCCGUAAUGGGCCACAUUAGGUCGAAAUGGGCCGUGUGGGCUUAAUGGGUUUAUAGGGCCCACGUAGAUAAAAUCAAUUAUUUGUGGCAAAUUCUGGACUGGGUUGUGUAGAUCUCAUAAUCGUGUGAAAUCUGGGCUGAACGGGUCAUACGAGCGCGUGGGCCCACUUGGGUCGAGUAAUGAGCCUUGGGCCUAUUUACACUGUUAUGACCGAAAUACCCUAUAAGAUAAAAUGACCAAAAUACCCCCAUAUGGUAAAAUGAUCAAAAUACCCCUAUAGGGUAAAAUAACCAAAAUACCCUGAUAGGGUAAAAUUAUCAAAAUACCCCCACAAGGUAAAAUAACCUAAAUACCCCCAUAGGGUAAAAUGAUUGUUAUACCCCUAGGAGAUGAAAUGACUGUUAUGGCUUUAUGUUAUGUAUGACUGGUUUGUUCUAUGAUAUGUAUGACUAUGAUUGAGUAUGACAUCCUACAUACACGUAUGAUAUUAUGUCACGACAUAUUGCAUGGGGAUAGGUUGUUAUAUUUAGAGGACGUGUAACGUAUUGAUAAGGUUGCACGGGUCGUCCAAGACAACUAUGUACCUACUGAUGGCUAUAUGCCGUUUAUUUGACUGGCAACUUUGCUACAAUACUGUUUAGUGCCGCAACUAGUGCUAAUCUUGGUGUGUAUGGCUGGGUGAGUCGAUUUUAUCCCCACGAGGUGUGUUUGGCUGGAAGAAGUGGUGUGUAGAGGCAGGAUUGGGAGUUACAUUUAGUGGUAUCAAAGCCCAGUUGUAAAACUCGGUUGUGGAAUGGGUUUGAAAAUAUCUAGAAUUUAUGAAAAAUUAUUUUAAAUUAAAUUUUAAAGGACACAAGUGUGGUACAUCGAGUCUUCAGCACCGAAUCUGUAAGUUUCUAUAUACUGUAGGCUGCUUAAACUGAAAUAUAUUGAAAGACUACAAUAGAUAGUAAGCCUGUACUGAAACUCUUAAAUUAGAGAAAACUAAGACUGUAGGAAAACUGGAAGCUGUAGGGAGACCUUGACUUACAAAAACAAAACUAUGACUACUGGGUCUCAUAAGACAUCUGUUAAUAAUUACUGGAAUUACUCCCUAAUGCAUAAAAUUUCUUAACAUUGAUAAUACGUUAUUUGAUAUGAGCACAAGAGGUAUACAUGGACGAGGUACAAGAGGCCAUGGUAGAGGCCGUUGAGGUGCUCGAGUUAGGUCCUCAUCAUUUGGCCAUAUACCUAAUUUGGAACUAGAGUGUACAGCGGAAGCAUAGUGGUGGAGUCUGUGUUAUGCGACUGAUCUGAUAAUUAGAAAUUUUGAAGACGAAAUUUUUUUAAGGAGGGCUGAAUUGUAACACCCUAAAUUUUGGGCUUAAAAGAAAUAGGUUUUGAACAAGGGAACAGUUAGGAGACUGCAUAUAAAUAUUUAGUUGUGUAAGGAAGUGACAUUAAUAUAUAUCUGCUUCAGUGGUUAAGUCAUCUGGAAGUGUUUGAGAAGCCUAGGUUCAAGUCUUGGCUUCUGCAGAAUUUUUAGCUUUUCUUUUAAAUGAAUCUGGGCAUUGGCAUAUAGGCUUUAUAAAUAAUAGUGUUGGUUUUAUGUCACAAAAAGAGCUUGUGGUCUAGUGGCAAGAUGGUGUGUUGUGUAACUGUAAGGUUUGAGGUUCAAGUCCUGGGUUGCAUAAUAGAGUAUUUAUUUUGCUGAUUAAGCUAGGUAGAUGGUGGAGUUGGAAUGAAAUACUACUAAAUGUAGUUUGAAUUGGUCAUAGAGAGAUUUGAGGAGGGAUAUUUAGAGAGAAUAUUAGGAUUUGGGGAGAUUGUUGUUGUGGAGAGAUAUAUAUUAUAUCAUCUUAUUUGUUCCUCUUUCUGGAUGGGAGAUUGGCGAGGUUUUCAAGGUUUUCGUUGCUUUCUCCAAACUGCAUUGCCUCUAUUCCUAACUGGUGGUGGUCUCAGAAUAAAAGUGUUCGGAACAAAGGAAAUCUGCAAAUUGCAUCAGGUGUGUAACCACCCCACUGUAACUGUAGAACGGCAAAAGGUGAAAAGCUAAAAUACGUCGUUCAAACUGCACGAGUGUACGAUCACUCGUGUUGGAAGCAAAAUCUACGAACAUAGAUGAAACUAUAGAGGCCUUCAUGAGCAUUUCCAUGGGCUUAGGCCGUAAUGGGCCACAUUGGGCUGAAAUGGGCCGUGUUGGCUCUAUGGGCUUAUGGCCCCCAUACUGAUGAAAUCCACGCUUUGUGGAAAAUUCUGGACUGGGUUGUGUAGAUCUCAUAAUCGUGGAGAAAUCUAGACUAAACAGGCAUACGAGCGUGUGGGCCGACUUGGGUCGAGUAAUAGGCCUUAGACCCAUUUACAUUGUUUUCUUUUUACAGUACAGGUAAUCCUUAGCCAUAGGCAAUUUGGUGCUGCUAGGGACUCGGAGGUGGCCACACAACUGUAGUUGUUCUACAAUUGUUUUUAUUUAAAUAACUUGAGUUCGAGUUGGGUUUUGUUUUUUUUAAUAAGGCCAUUACGUAUCUUUAAAUUUUAAAUUGGGCUUUUGGUUACUUCCUUAAAAAUGAAAUUUAAUCCUAAGAGUUUUCAAAAGCUUUCACGGUUUUUAGAUCAACCUUUUAUAACAAUGGCAACAACAAGCCAAAAUUCCCGACUUAAUGAUUUGUUAAAUAAUAAUAAAGGGGUUUUUAAAAUUUAGAGGCUAAUUUUUAUCAAGGAGUCAUAGUUUUCGAAAAACACUUCAAUGUGACAUGCUAGAUUCGACCAUAACUCCUAGGCCAAGUUUGGGAUGUUACAUAUAUGCAAACCAAGAGCCAUCUAAUUAUUCUGAUGCGGUUAGCUGUGAAGAUUUAGAGAAGUGGAUAUUUGCUAUGCAAUAGGAGAUGAAAUCACUCCACAAAAAUAAAAUAUGGGAUCUUGUGAAACUUCUUAAAGGUAAAAAGGUUGCUUAUUGUAAAUGGGUGUUUAAAAAGAAAUAGGGGACUCUAGGAGUUGAAGAACCCAGAUAUAAAGCAAGGUAUGUUGCAAAAGGUUAUAGUCAAAUUCUAGGAGUGGACUUCACAGAUGUGUUCUCUCAGUUGUGAAGCUCCCCAAUUGUGAAGCAUAGUUCGAUUCGAGCUUUGCUUGGUAUUGUGGCCUUGCAUGAUUUGGAGCUUGAGUAGUUAGAUGUAAAAACUGCAUUUUUACAUGGAGAACUUGAGGAGGAUAUUUACAUGCAACAACUAGAGGGCCUUAUAGUAGCAGAAAAAGAUACUAUGUUUGCUUGCUAAAAAAGUCCCUUUACGGUUUGAAACAGUCACCAAGACAGUGGUACAAGAGAUUUGAUUCCUUUAUGACUUCUCAUGAUUUUAAAAGAAGUAGCUUUAACAGUUGUGUUUUCUUUAAGAAAAAAGUGAUGGUUCUUUUGUGUAUUUGCUCCUUUAUAUUAAUGACAUGUUGAUAGCAGUGAAAGAUAAAUGAGAGAUAAGAAAGGUCAAAGCACAACUAAGUGAAGAAUUUGAGAUGAAAGAUUUGGGACUAGCAAAGACGAUACUUGGUAUGGAGAUUCUCAAAAAUAGAAAAUCAUGUAAAUUGUACCUAAGUCAGAAGGGGUACAUUAAGAAAGUUCUUUGCAGAUUCAAUAUGCAGAAUGCUAAGCCUGUUAGUACUCCUUUAGCAGCCCAUUUCAAACUUUCAUCAUCUUUGUCUUCACAUUCAGAUGAUGAGAUUGAGUACAUGUCACAUGUUUCAUACUCUAGUGCAGUGGGAUCUCUCAUGUAUGCUAUAGUUUGUUUACAUUCAGAUUUAUCAUAUGCAUUUAGUACAGUUAGCAAAUACAUGGUGAAUCCCAAUAAUGAACAUUGGAAAGCAGUUCAGCGGAUUUUAAGAUACUUAUGCAGUACUGUUAAUGUUUGCUUACAGUUUGGAAGAACCAGAGAUAGAGUCAUUGGGUAUCUUGAUGUUGAUUUUAAUGGAGACCUUGAUAGAAGAAGAUCUCUCACAGGUUAUGUCUUUACAAUCAGAGGUUGUGCAAUCAAUUGGAAAGCCACUUUGCAAACUACAGUUGAUUUGUCUACUAUUGAAGCUGAGUACAUGGCGAUUACUGAGACUUGUAAAGAAGCUACUUGGUUAAAGGGACUCUAUAGUGAACUUAAAGAAGACAUUCAAAUCAAUACUGUAUUUUGUGACAACUAGAGUGCCAUCUUCCUUACAAAAGAUCAAAUGUUUCAUGAGAGAACAAAACACAUUAAUGUUCAGUAUCAUUUUGUUCGUGAUAUUAUUGCUCGUGGUGAUAUUGUUGUGAGCAAAAUUAGUAUUCAUGAAAAUCCUGCAGAUAUGAUAACUAAGUCACUUCUUAUAAACAAGUUUGAGCAUUGCUUAGACUUGAUUGGUGUUCAUUGUUGAACUUAACCUCUGAACUUCAACUUGAGCUUGACUCCCCGAAGGCAUGUAUUGCUACAAGCUAGAUCCAAAAUAUUGGGUCGGGUUAACAAAAGAUCCUUGAAAUCAAACCCGACCAUACCUUUCAGGACCCAAAACUUUAGUAAUAAUCCUGUUAUCAAUGUCCUCAAGAUGAACAGAACUAUCACUGGAAGCAAUCGCUUCGUGCUCCGCCUUUUUAUCCUUUAGUUUCUACUAAUAAAUCAGUCAAAUAGUUAGGAACGCAAAAUAUAUUAUAAAAACAAAUGUAACAUAACUAAAUAAUAUUUGCAUUACAAAUAAUGAAUUAAACCAUUUGAAAAUAAACACUAUAAAUAUUUAAAAUAAUUCAAAAUUUAAUAAGUAGACGUACCAUAAUUUCUGCAGCUUUAAGAGUCAUAGGAGAUCCAUCUUUCUUCCUAUGUGUAAUGUCAAAAAGCUGAAUGGGUCCAACUUUUUGACCGGACGACAGUUCCUACAAUAUGAUAGUAAAAAUAUUAUUUAAUGGAAAGUAAUAUAAAUCAUUUGACACUAUUAAUAAAUUCAAAAUACCCCGGCCUCAGCUACACAAGCAAAACUUUUUGACCCAGCAGUGUGAGUGAAUUUUUGUUUUUGCAUGCUGCUUUUUCCAACUCGUUCACGAUCCUACAUUAUGAAAUUAUUAUUACGUAUAUAGUAAAUACUAUAAACCAAAAUAAUUAUAAGAGUUUGGAAGUACGUAAUACCUCUCCUUUCUUUGAUGUCCAAAAUCUAACCGCAUCUUCCCAUUAGUACCUCAGCAUUCCCAGCGAGGCAUUUUGCAAUUUCUCUUCGAGGGCUGUUUUUAUCUUAAAAUAAUCUUUCUUUAAAUUACUUUUAUGGUCUCUCCAUCUUUUUCCCAAUGCCUUCUCUACAUAAGUAUCGGAGACCUCUAAAGCAAACAUCGCCUACAAAAAACACAAGUUAAGAAAGUAAAUAUAAACGAAACUUAAAAUCAAGUAUUAUAAAUGAAAUUAACAUUUUGUUACCUUAAUAUUAUCGAGAGCUUGAUUUUUGUUACUAUCAGGCAUUUGAUGCCAUGACUCGUAGUUGAUAGGCAACAUUUUUGCAUUUCACGCUAAAAUGCCCAAAUAUCCUUCUAAAAGUCGAGCUUUUGAUCCAACAGGCUGACCAAAACUGUUUCUACAUACUUUGACAUGCUCGACUGGAUCUAACUCGUAUAAAUCUUUAAGUAGCAUACGUCCUUGACCUCUGCGCGUCCCACCACUUUCAGCUAGAAAAUGGUAUAUUCUAAUAUAAGAAUUUGAAAAAGAAAUCAACAAUAACUCAACACGCAUGUAAAUUAAAUGUAAAAUUACUUUGAACUUCUGUAGGUUCGUCAGCUGUAAUCGAAACAUUCGAAGAUUCAAUAGCAGUCUAUUGUUCACUAUUUGUUUCUUCCGAGUUUUGAGUAUUUUGAACAAUGCUUAGAUCUUACAAUUUUCUUCUAGGCAUUUUAUCUGCAAUACACAUAAAAAAGUUGAAAAUUUAGUAACUAAUUACAACAAUAACAGCACAUAUAAAAUAAUUGAAUAUUUAAUAAGAGCAAGUUUUGAAUUAUGAUAUUACAUAUAAUUAAAAAAUCAUAAAAUCUUACUACAUCAAAAUCCGUAAAUAUCUUCAUCUGUAUCCUGGUGAACCCAUUAAAAUUGUGUACUAGUACUAGGGAUAUUUUCAUUUAAGUUUUGUUCUGGAAAGGGCAAAGUUUCUAGUCUGUCGUCGAUGUUAUCUCUACUUCCAUUGUCCAUGUCAAACAAGUCUCUAGGGAUGUCACGAAGUACAACAUACCAACCUCAUCAGUUGGAUCUUUUGAAUAAAAAAACUUGUUUGACUUGAGAAGAAAAUACAUAUGGCUCAUCUAUCAAUUGUUGUCCUGUGUGAAUUAACGGAGAGAAGUUUGCCAUUUUAAAACCAAAUUGAUCUUGCUUAAUUCCACGAGCAAUAUUCACAUCAGCCCAAUCCCCUUGAAAUAAGAUAACUUUCCAUUUGUCGUAGUAAUCCAACUCAAUUAUGUCAGUCAGAAGUUCGAAAUACCCCAUAUUUCCCUCAACAGGAUUGUUGUCCCUAGCACUAGCAUAACUCGUAAUUGAGGAAUUAACAACAAUUCCACAAUUUUGAGUUCUCCUCAAUCUCUCGCGAUAUUAUGUAUGAAAUCUAAAUUCGUUGAUGAGGAAGGCACUAUAUUUUUUAACCACUCUGUUUGAACCUUAGGAAAGGCAUUUAACUUUGUCAUUUACGUUCUUCACACUCCAAACCUACUGAAUGGAAAGUAAACUGAGUAAUUAUAAAUGUUAUGAUAAAACAUUAUUAUUUGUCAGGGAAAGCUUCAAUCACAUACAGUUUGGCUUAACCAUUCAUGAAAAGAUUCUGUAAAUAACUUAUUGAUCUUUUGAUGUUGUAAUCUUCGAGAGUGUGAACGAGAUCUCAAUAUUUGUUUGUACUCACUAUGUUAAAAAAAUGUGCACAUUGCUAGAAGAUAAUCAAUUUAUACUUGAUGAAUAUUUAUCAUAUUUCUAGAACUUACUUCCGUAACGGUUCCACUGAAUCAUGGUGAAACAGAACAUAUCGAUAUGCUUGUACCCACGAUAAAUCAUCUAAUUCCACAAUUUCAACUUUGCCGAUUGGUUCUCCAAAACUUUGAAACAAAUAAGUAUCGGCGAAGUUAUCAGUGAGUCUAGCAUUUCUUCUUGGUCUGUUCAACCUUGUUUCAACAUCUUCCAAAUAUCUUGAACAGAAAGUCAUACAUUUCUCAGCCAAGUAGCCUUCAGCAAUUGAUCCUUCUGGAUAAUACUUGUUGUGGCAGCAAGACUUCAAUUUGGAUAGGAACUUAAACACGAUGUACAGCAUCAUUAAAAAUUGUAACUAAAGCCAUACAGGUGAAUGAAGGAAAAUUUUACAAAUAAAUUAACACCUUUCUAUGGGAUACAUCUAUCGAUAGAAAACAGGUCCACCAAGAAUUGCUUCAUGCGGGAGAUGGAUUAGUGAAUGCACCAUAAUUCUGAAGAAGAAAUGUGGAAAGAUUUUCUCCAAGUUGCAUAAAGUCAAAGCGGCUUGAUCUUGUACUUUCUCAAGUUCUUGAACAUCCAAAACUUUGCCACAAAUGGCUUUUAUUAUAUUGGAUAGUUCAAUAAUACAAGAAGUCAUAUUUUUAGACAUACAACAUUGUAGAGCAACUGGUAGUAAAUCUUACAUCAAGAUGUGAUAGUUAUAUGAUUUUAAGGAAUAUAGUCUUCGAUUUUUAAUACUAACACAUCGAAAUAUAUUUGAUGCAUACGCAUCUGGAACCUUUAUACCCUUCAACACCAUGCAGAACACUUCUUUUUCCUUCUUCGACAUUGAAAAAAUAGAAGAUGACAACCGAUAUUUCCCGUUCGGAAGUGCUUGGGGAUAAGAUCAGGCCGAAUUUCCAUGUUGACUAAAUCAAGUCAACUCUAAAGAUUGUCUUUUGAUUUUCCUUCGACAUUCAAAAUUGUACAGAUAAUGUUCUCGCAAACAUUUUUCUCAAUGUGCAUGACAUCAAGAUUGUGUCGUAAAAGUUGAUGCUCUCAAUAAGGCAACUUAAAAAAUACUUCUUUUUUUUCACAAGUCUGCCUCAUUAGGAUCAUCCUUUUCAUUAGAGUCAUCAUUAGCUUUAUCAUUUGAUCUCCUAUUUCGUUGCAUGUUUGGCGGUUGGUUCAUCUUUCUAUAGCUAAAAUUCAUAUCUUCCAACAUGAACAAGAUUUUAGAUCCACUGGUCUGCGAAGGAGCUUCUCUUAACUCUUCAGUAUCGUCAAAUACAGAACUCUGAAAUCUAAAUCUAUGAUUUUCUGGUAACCACCGACAAUGCCCCAUGUAAGAGAACUUCUUCCAAUUAUAUAACCAUUGCGAACAUGUUUGCACAGCACAAUAAGGACAAGCAUAAUGACCAUUGGUACUCCAACUAGAUAAAUUGGCAUAAGCGAGGAAGUCAUUAAUAGUCCACAUCAAAACUACACACAAAUUAAAGUUCUCAUUUCUUAGUACAUCGUAUGUCUCAACACCAGCCCAUAAUUGUUUUAACUCUUCAAUAAGUGGCUGUAAAUAAAUGUCGAUGUCGGAGGAAAAUUGUAAAGAACAAGCACUACAGACCAGGUACUGUACGUAGUGUUCAUGAUCUUGUAUGGAUUAAAUCAAUCAGAUGCUAGCCCAAGCCUCACACUCCUAGGAUCGCUUGCAAAGCUUGGAAAUUUACUUUCAAAUGAUUCCCAAGCUAAAGAAUCUACCGGAUACCUUAGUAAUCCAUCAUUGGUUCGUCCAUCAUGGUGCCACGUCAUCGACUUGGCCGUCUUCGAUGACAUGAAAAGCCUCUGAAGCCUUGGUAUUAGUGAAAAAUAUCGUAAAAUCUUAUUUGGCUUCUUCCUUGACUGUGCGUCAUUUUCAUCGUCAUUCCCAUAAUCUGUGUUUCUAUUCAUCCAACGAGAUUGGCCGCAUACAUGACAACACUGCUGGUUUUUUUUUAUCACCCCAAUACAACAUGCAGUCAUUCGGGCAACUAUGAAUUUUGUUGUACCCAAGACCUAAAUCUUUUAUCAUUUUCUUUAUAUCUUUACAUGAGUGAGGGAUUUUUGCAAACGAAAACAUAUCUCUUAAAAACUCUAACAGCGUUGUCAAAGAGUUUCUGGUCCACCCUCCCAAACAUUUUAACUGAAAAAGACAAAUAUAGAAUGACAUUUUUGAAAAUUUUGAUUCCUCAUAAAGUUCUUUGUUCAUUUCAUUAAGUAGCUCGUAGAACUUCGCCGCUUCUCCGUUCGGCUCUUCAUGACGUACACUUCUUCUCGGUUCGGUAAAAGCAUCUCCACCAAGAUUACAAUUAUCAGGUGCCACAAAGUCAGCUGGGAACGACUGCAAACCAUGAUUGUGCAUAUUAAAUGCAUCCCGCAACAUCCCUUCCAUGUCAUCCCCUCUAACAGACUGAUGGUAAUUAGUACCAAGAUAAGAUACAUCCAUCCUUGAAGAGGAAGUACUAGGCGGGCAUUCUCCAUGAAAAAGCCAUUGUUUAUAACCCCGAGCAAACCCAUCAACAAUUAGAUGCUCGUAUACAACUUCACGAUAAUGCUAGUUUAUAUUGACACACUUCUUACACGGGCAAAGAAUCAUGUUCUCUUGGCUUGCACAUUGAAAUGAAAAAUUUAGAAAAGUUUGUACUCCAUUUCGAUAACCAUUGCUUACCCUUGACAAAUUCAUCCAAGACCGGUCCAUUUCUUUAUUCUUGAAGUCUGAUGUUGACAAUAAAUUACAAGGGUAAGUUGUUCAGUUAUAACCUUAUAAAUGACUUAUGUAAGUUACGUAAGUUAUGUAAGUAAUGUAUUAUGUAAGUUGUGUAUAAUAUUAUUUAAGUUAUGUAAGUUGUGUAUUAUGUAAGUUACGUAAGUUAUGUAGGCUAUGUUUUAUGUAAGUUACGUAAGUUAUGUAGGCUAUAUUUUAUGUAAGUUAUUUAAGUUAUGUAAGCUAUGUAUUAUGCAAGUUAUGUAAGUAGUGUAUUAUGAAAGUUAUGUAAGUUGUGUAUUAUGUAAGUUACGUAAGUUAUGUAGGCUAUGUAUUAUGUAAGUUAUUUAAGUUAUGUAAGUUAUGUAAGUAGUGUAUUAUGAAAGUUAUGUAAGUAGUGUAUUAUAUAAGUUAUAUAUUAUGAAAGUUAUGUAAGCUGUGUAUUAUGUAUUAUGUAAGGUAUGUAAGUUGUGUAUUAUGUAUUAUGUAAGGUAUGUAAGUUGUGUAUUAUGUAUUAUGUAAGUUAUGUGAGUUGUGUAAGUUGAGUUAUGAUAUAUAUACAUAAUUAAGUUAUGUAUGUUACGUGAGUUAUGUAAGUUGAGUUAUAUAUAAGUUAUUAACCCCUGUAAGUUAUCUGAGUUAUAUAUUGGUUAUAUAUACAAAAUAUAGGUUUUAAUAUUUAAAAUACACAUAAAAUAGGUAAUAUAUCCAUACUAAUAUAGGUGAUAUAUUAAAAAUAUAGAUUUUAAUAUUUAAAAAUAUAAAAUAAAUAAUUAUGUUUAAAAUUUAAAAAGUUAUUAGUAAUGAAUUUGAAAUAUAGGUUAUAUUCCCAUACUAAUAUAGGUGAUAGAUUAAAAAUAUAGGUUUUAAUAUUUAAAAAUAUAAAAUAAAUAAUUAUGUUUAAAAUUUAAAAAGUUGUUAGUAAUGAAUUUGAAAUAUAGGUUAUAUUCCCAUACUAAUAUAGGUUAUAUAUUAACAAUAAAGUUUAAACAUAUUUAAAAUAUAAUAUUUAUAAAUAUUUUUAAAAUUUAAAAAAUAAUUAGUAAUGAAUCUGAAAUAUAGGUUAUAUUCCCAUACUAAUAUAGGUUAUAUAUUAACAAUAUAGUUUAAACAUAUUUAAAAUAUACUAGUUAUAAAUAUUUUUAAAAAUUAAAAAGUAAUUAGUAAUGAAUCUGAAAUAUAGGUUAUAUAUUUGAUUAAAAUAUAUAGGUAAUAUAGGUAAUAUUUGAUUAAAAUAUUAAGUAAAAUUAAUUAAUUAAAAUAAAUAAUAAAGAUAUAUUUGACCAGUAGUUCCUCGACCGCUAGCUAAGUCGAUGAUAGUAAAAAAAAUUCCAGCGCGCUCAUUUUCUUUAUAGUUACCACAAACUUUUCCGACAAUUUUAAGUCCCGUUGUAAAUAGGAUUAUUUUGACAGCAUUUUAAAGUGCCGGUAAAAGUCAAAUUUAGAUUUAAAUUUAAAUAUUAAUAUACGAAACAUUUUCAGACCUUCAUAAUUGUCAGAAAAAAAUCAUAUUCGCAUUAAAUAAACAGGAAUUUAUGGUCUGUUACCUUGACAGACACGUUGUACAUAUGCAAUCGCAAGAAUCAGUUCAUCAAUGGAAGCAGACUAACAACAAUACAAAAGUUUAGAAACCUUAGAACAUUUAGAUGAAAACCGAGUAAUCUUAAAUGCUUCAUAUAUUUUGUUAAGCACAAGAUAACCUGCUGAUUUAUAUAACCAAACUAACUUCAACAAAAUUAAUUGCUUCAUAACAGAAGAACUUAGUAACCAACUUCAACACACUUAACUAACAGGAACUGCACUGUCUACAGUGGGUUCAAUAGUACAAGUCUGUUGUUCACACUUUCUAAACAUUUCCUUAGGUAGAACAAUUUAGUCUGCAUAAUUUAUAUAAGUAGUAAACAAUAAAUAUGAUCAAAAAACAACAAAUAUUAAUAGAGUUAGUUGCAGACAGAAGCCAUUUUCAGACAUGGAUACUUAAUAAUAAGGUUAGUCUUGGAAUUCCUAAAUAAAUCAAUGUCUGUAAGGAAUGAAGAUUAGCAAGAUAUAUAUAAGUUCACCAUGAUAUUGCUUCGAGCCAUGAGACAAAACACAGAACUAAUCAAAACCAGGCUGUUUAAACUGAUGGUUGAUAUAAUUUUAACAUUUGAACCUAAAACACUCCAAGGCAAAGUUCUAAAGGCUCUCCUCAAGCAACUAAAGAUACACAAUAUAUAAGAAGUGCUGUCAUUGCAUGUGCGUCCAACCAUAGAGCAAACUUAUAUAUUGCAACGUAUACUAGACAAAAGCAGCAUUGAUUUAAAUGCAUAGAUAAAAUUGGCGAUUGCCAAGUUUAAAGCAAAAUGAAAAGAAAAAACCAGUGAGAGGUACCAAAUUAAAACAGACGAUAUACAACAUUAACCUAAUUCCAGCAAAAAAGACUUGCAGCAACAUUAACCAAAUUCCAAAUUAAAAGAUGCCCCAACUACAAAUAUACCAAAUUUGCUUCAAACCAGUGAGAGGUACCAAAUUUGCAGACUAAAUUGCUAAAACUAAAUUGCUACAGUCAAAAUGAAAAGAAAAAACUAAGAAAAAAAAUACUACUCUGCCUCUGCCUGACUACAUUGCUAAAACUGCAUGAUAUUCGAGACAAUAAUGCAGUAUCGAUAUAUUUUAAUUAAAUUAUAAACAAAAUAAUCAUCAUGAACUUGUUCAAUAAAACUGUUUUUACAUAAACUUAAGUGAAUAAUAAACUUUCUAAGUAUCUAAAUCAAAAUAUUAUAAAAGCGUAUUUUUUAUAUAAAAAUCUAUUACAUUAUAUGAGUACUAACUGUAUAAUACAUAACAGGCUGAUUAAACUGCAAAUAGGAAGACAAAACAAAGGUCCUGAUUCCUUUAACAAAAAACGAAUAGAAAGACAAAACAAGGUUUAGAAUAUGCUUUAAAAUCGUUUUUAAAAUCGAAAAUAACUUUAACCACAAACAAAUUAAAUUAGGCAUUCGAAAGCCUACAUUCUACGGUCAAAAUGUAAGACAGUCAAGUCGGUUAAAACCCUAAACAGACUAAAUUGGCAAACCUAGAAUUAAGAGAGAAGAAAACAAUACCUUUAGAAAGAUGAAGAGAAAUUAAAUCGGUUCGGAUCAAAUUCCACGAGUAAAUUCCAAAAUGCGAACGUUUUCGGAAACCCUAAAACCAAGGAUGAACUUCAAUGUUAACGAUUCAAACGAGUAAAUUCCACGAGUAAUUUCGCAAAAACCCUAAACACGCAAAAGAAAAAAAUAAAAGAAAUCAAACUGGUUCAAGCUUACCCAAAAAACAGAAUCUCCACUGCUCUGUCUUCGUGUAAAUGCCGUGAAGAAUCGAAUAAGUAACGAUAUAUUUGAAGAAUCGAACAAACAAAAAUAAAACCAACAGCAGUUUUACAGGAUCAACUCAGUGAAUGACUGGAAUUAGGGAUUUGGGAGAGCUUUCGAAGGGGAAUUAGGGAUUUGGAAGGGGAAGAUUUCUGUAAUUAGGGGCUGGGUGCAGGAAAGGGGAACAAAAAUGUCACUCUAAGCAAAACGACGACGUUCCGAUAUAAUUUUUCAGUUCCUGAAACAAAACGGCGACGCUUUCAACAUUUUCUAAUACACACGUUUUCAGCCAAAACGCCGCUAAAGCUUGCAAUUUGCGGUGAUUUUGAGAAAAACGCCACUAAAGCGUUAAAAUCAUUUAAGCAAACGAUGCCAUUUUUGUGCACUUUUUUAUACAUUUUUGCGGCGUUUCUAUAAAAAACGCCGCUAUUGCAUACCUUCUGCGGCAUUUUUCACAAAAACGCCACUAAAAAUCAAAUUCCUAUGACCAAACGGCGCCGUUUUGUAUAAUUUUUAACACAUUAUCGCGGCGUUUUUGGUCCAAACGUCACUAAUGUUAAAAUUUUUUUAAAAUUUAAUUAUUUAAUAAAAUUUAAUUAUUCUAUGAAGUCAGGUUGUGUUUUUCAAAAAACUACUUAAUCUAAACCCUAAACCUCUAACGCUUAACCCCUAGCUAACUCCUAAACCCUAAGCCCCAACCUUGAACCAUAAACUACAAACCAUACUAAUCCAUGAACUCUUAACCCAUAUCCCUUAAACCUUGAAUCAUAAAACAUUAACUAUAAACCUUAAACCCCUAACCCUUAACCCCCAACACCUAAACCUUAAACCCUAACCCUUAAACCAUAAUCCUAAAACCCUUAACCUAUAUUCGUUACACCCUAAAUCAUAGAACAUAUAUAAAUUCUAAACCCUAAAUCAUAUAUAGAGCAUAUAUAAACUAAAAACCUUAAACCCUAACCCUUUAACAAUAAACCAUAACCCCACAUCCAUAAUCCCUAAUCCGCUAAUGCGUCUAAAGCUUAACAAAAAAAGUUGCUUAACUUUUUCUGGUGUUUUCAAAAAUCGCCGCUAAUGCUUGACUUUUACGGCGCUUUUUGUAAAACGCCGCUAAUGACUGUAACGCUCAACAAAAAAUGAAGCCGUUUGCUUAAAAUUUUUGCAGCGCUUCUAAAAAAGCGCCGCUAAUACUUGACUUCUGCGGCGUUUUUAUAAAAGCGCCACUAAUGUCUGUAAACCUCAACAAAAAACAUUGUUGUUUGCUUAUAAACUUUUGCGGUGCUACUGUGAAAGCGCGGCUAAUUCCUGACUUUUGCGGUGUUUUUAGGAAAGCGCCACUAAUGUCUCUAAAACUGAAAAAACAAACGACGUCGUUUGCUUGAAACUUAUGUGGGGCUUUUGAAAAAGUGCUGCUAAUGACUGACUUCUGCGGCGUUUUUCAAAAAGCGCCACUACUGUCUGUAAAGCUCAACAAAAAUGACGUCGUUUGCUUAGAAACUUUUGUGGCACUAAUGAGAAGGCACCGCUAAUGCUUGACUUCUGCGGCGUUUUUUGGAAAGCCCCACUAAUGUGUCUAAACCUCAACAAAAAAAAUGACAUUGUUUGUUAAAACCUUUGCGAACAAAAGUGUCGCUAAUGCUUGACUUCUGCGGCAUUUUUUGGAAAGCGCCACUAAUGUGUCUAAACCUCAACAAAAAAACGUCGUUUGUUAAAACCUUUGCAGCGCUUUUGAGAAAGCGUCGCUAAUGCUUGACUUUUGCGGCUUUUAUUUAGAAGCGCCACUAAGGUAUUUGAGGCUCAACAAGAAAACGACAUCGUUUGCCUUACCCUUUUGUGGUGGUUUUCGAAAAACGCCGCUAUUGCUUAUAUUUUGCGGUGUUUAUUUAAAUUUGCCGCUAAUGCUCGAUUUCUUGCUGCGUUUUUUUGUUAAAACACCGCUAUAAACGCCGCUAAAAGCCUGUUUUGGUGUAGUGAAAUUUACUAAGUUUUUGGGGUUUUGAGUUUUUGAGUUUAUCAAAAUCACAAAUAUAUAUAUAUAUAUAUUUAUAUAUAUAAAUUUAUCAGCAUUUAGUUAUAUGUGUUUCAAUAUAAUUACUUUUUAUAUUUAAUUACAUGUGUUUGAGAAUAAAGUUGAUAGAAUUUUUAAAUAUGGUGGGUGAUAUUUAUUAAAUUAUUUAGAAUACAAAUCAAAUUAAUAAAAUGUGUAAGUAUUAAGGAAUAAAAGUGUUAUUAUGCCAGUUGGAAAAGACAACAUCAUCACUUCUGUUAACUAUUUAACGGAGAGUGAUCACAAUAGAAACAAUCUAAAGUGUGAGUAUUCAAAAUAGAAAUAAUCUAAAACGUUAGUGGCUAAAUUUAAAAAUUUCAUAGUUGGGUGACUAAUUCUAUAGUUUACUUUAGAUGGUAGAAGCAAUUAGGAUUAAUUCCACCAAACAUCUCAAACUAUUACUCAUAUUUUAAAUUGAACCCUAAAGUUAUAUACAUUCUAAUUAAAUUACUCAAAUAGAAUGUGAUUGUACUAGGCCUAUUUUGCCCGAGCCCAAGACAAAUAAAAUAAAAAAUAACAGUCCAAAUUACAAAACAAAAUGGCAGGCCCAAACUCAAAUAGCCCAAAACUAAACAAACCCAACAACCUAAAACUAAACACAAACCCUAGCCCCCCUAAACCCUAAUGCGCCGCACCUAGCUACCUGCCAUUGUCAGUCUGCCGCCGCCCCUAUCCUCUGCUGCUGUCAGCACUGCCACCGCCGAAGCCACCAACUCCACUUGCCACCGCCCCUUUUAAAUUUCAUUCUAAUUUCAACUUAGUCCUUAUUUAUUUAUUCAUUUAUUAUAAUUUAGACUAUUAAUUUCGUUUUGCUUUCGAUCUAAUCCCUUAUUUAUUUAAUUUCAGCCUUUCAUGAUUUUUUUAUUUAUUAUUUACUUGUUUAUUUAUUAUUGCCUCGCUUUUUAUUUUAAAACUUAUAUGGUUCAUAUUUGUAUAUUGUUGCCAUAUUGUCAUUGUUAUUUAGUUAUUUUUUUAUUAUUUUUGAUACUUUUCAUGUCACGUCCUUUUUAAUCAUGCAUCUUCCUUUUAUUUUUAUUUUGAGUUAUCUUGUUUAUUUUAUUAUUAUGAUUAUAUUAUUGUUAUUACAACAUCCCUUUAUUUAUUUAUAUUUUAUCAUUCACUAAUCUUAUGUUAUCCUUUUAUGGACUUUGCUUUGCUUUGUUUUAUUUUAUUUUAUUUUAUCUAUUAUUCCCUUACUUUUUUUUUAAUUUUGUGUUUUUAAAUUCCUCUUUCGUGUGCCCUUUUUUAUGUUUCAUAAUUGUUAUCAUUAUUAUUUAUUAUACUUUUUGUUAUUUGUAUUAAUAUUAUGAUUAUGAUUAUUAAUAUUAUAAAUCGACAAUUUUAUCGUUACCAUUGUAUUAUUAUCAAUCACUAGCAUAGCAUCUUCAGUUUAUCUUUUAUUUGUUCAUUUGUUCAUUUAUUUGUUUGCCUAAUAUUUUAAUAUCGUAUCUUUGUUUCUCUACUACCAUGUUAUCUUAUUUUUUGUCAACACCAUGUCACGGACCGUAUUCGAAUAUAUUUACCCAUUUUUAUACUAUGCUUAAAUAAGUUAAAUGUGCAUUUCUUAAAAUUUUAUAUUCAUUUUUUUACUCGAUGUAUAACAAGAAAUUUUUAAAAUCAAAGUAAAUGUUCAUUAUUUUCGGAAUUAGAAGAGCCGUGUUCCUAACUUACGGAAUAUGACUUUCUCCUAAAACCAAAAUAGUCGAACAUCUAUUUCAAAAAAUAAAAACGGGAUUUAAGUGAUGAUUAGAUGGAGUUCUUUUUUGUUCUCGAGGAUCUAAGGCAUUGUGUCCUAACUUACGGGACAUGGUCCUUUUUUCUCGAUUAACUUAAAAUAAGCCCCUUUUCAUGAAAAUUAAUUUAGUAAAGUAAUGUCUUAACAAAGGACCGUAUUUUAAAUCUCUUCAAAGUUUUCAAUUUUCAACACUAAGGCACUAAUUAAUCGACUAGGUACCAAUUUUGGGCGUAACGAGGGUGCUAAUCCUUCCUCGUACGUAACCGACUCCUGAACCCAUCUUUCUAAAUUUCGUGGACCAAAAUCAUUGUUUUAAUAAAUCAAAUCGUUUAUUAAAAUAACUACUCUUUUUUAGGUGACCCGAUCACACCUCAUUAAAAAGGAUUGGUGGCGACUCCCGUGUUCAUUUUCAUUUUCAAAAUUAAAGUCGACCCCUUUUAUCAAAAAAUAGGUUUCGACAGUGAUAAUAUGUUAUGCUAUUAUUCAUCGAUAGUGCAUAGAACUUAUGCACCAACAAUACAUCAAAUAUUCUCAUUAAAAAAAUGUAUAAAAUAAGUUUUAUACCAUCUAUAAUUUGUAAAAAAAAGUAUCCAAUAAAAAAUAUAAAAACACAUAUCUAUAAUUUCACAAAAAGAAUUACAUUAAUCCAAACCAAAUCAUUUCUUUUUAUAAAUUCAAUUCCAAAUCUCCUGUAAUAAAUCAACCUCACAAAAUAUACAUCACACAAAUCUGAUUCAGGUUAAAAACAAAGAAUGCAUGUAUUGUGCAAUUAAAACCAUGAUCCAUAGUCAAUUCUAAAGUAUUGAACAUCUAAUUUUGCAUUAUUUUACCUCCCUUGAUUCUUCACAAACUCUUUGGAAUAAAUUAACCAUCUAUUCCUUAUUUCAAUUUUAUUAAAAAGAUAGGUUCCCAUAAAGACAGUCUUGACAAACCAGUGCACCUAUCAUAAACACAUCAGGGAACAUUGCCAUGAGAGAGGACCUAAGAAAACAUAAUACAAACUACAUAACAUACAAUCAAGCACCCACACAAAAUGUUUAUUAAACAGCUACAGAAAAAGGCCAGCAUACCACCAAGCAAUGAAGUUUUCUGUUCUGUUCGCAACUUGUUGAACUCGCCGAAGUGUUAGCUUCCCUACCUUUGUCCAAAUCUUUGUUGAACUCGCUCCACGAUCCUAAUCAACCACCAUGGUUUUCCAGUCGUGAAUACAAUGUAUGCCAUGCUCAUUCCCAGCACCAACCCAUAUCCAUACCCCAUCAAUUUUGAAAAUUUCCAAUUCAAUUCAUCACCAUCAUCAUCUCUAUCAAAUUUGGCUGGAGUUUCCUCAUCAAUACCACAGUUUUUUGAUAAUGGCAAACCACAUAAAUCCAAAUUUCCUAUGUAGGAAUCGUUAGUGAAAGUAUCAAAUUGUUUGCCUUGAGGAAUGGGUCCCUUGAGAUUAUUUUUAGAAAGGUUUAACACCUCUAAGAAUCCAAGAUUUUUUAACUCUGUUGGAAUUCUUCCUUGCAGCUUAUUUGAUGAGAGAUCUAAUGAUUCAAGCUCUGACAAAUUACCUAAAGAUGAUGGGAUAGGGCCUGUUAAACAGUUAUGGGAGAGAUUUAGGACAAUAAGUAAAUGAAGCUCACCAAGUAUUUUUGGAAUUUCUCCCCUGAAUUGGUUACUAGAAAGGUCAAUAAUCGUCCAAAUGGAUAAUAGUGAUUCAAACUUUAUUUCCUGCCCUUUUGCUGUAACAGAUAAACCAU